UAUUCUUUUAGUAUAACCAGUACCACUGACUUCCAAUCAGCCAGUCCCAGUCCUAAACCUGGGGAAGAAUAA
Molecule: transfer RNA, 72 nt
Filed under: Neomys fodiens (Eurasian water shrew)
Lineage: Eukaryota; Metazoa; Chordata; Mammalia; Eulipotyphla; Soricidae
Description: tRNA-Gly
Source: RNAcentral